AAACAUUAGGUCACACAUUGACACUUGUAAGUAAUCUGUGGUUGUCAGGGAAAGAAUGGGCCAGGAAUCAUUACAGAGAUGUUCUAUAAUUUAUGUUUGGGUUUUAUAUCUCUAGUAAAACUGUGUAGGGAAAGGUGUUACAAUCUGUUGUGAAACUGUGUUUGAUUUACAUGUACAUCAACAUUGGGGGAUCUAGUGAAAUAAUCCAUACAAUUAUUUUGUAAGCUUCCUAACAUAUCAACUAAAAUUUCAAUUCAUAAUGUUUUUGAGUCAUAAGGCCAAUGUCUAGCCUUUUAAAUGAGAUUUAAUGCUGCCAAAGUUGUUUACAUUUUUUAAUGCAACCUAGCAGCCAACGUGAACAUGUUUUUAAGUGGAACUCGGGGGGGGGGGGGGGG
Biomphalaria pfeifferi is the source of this 395-nucleotide non-coding RNA. NCBI's taxonomy places the organism in Eukaryota, Metazoa, Mollusca, Gastropoda, Planorbidae. The record is from the annotation of a GenBank genome assembly.